Molecule: non-coding RNA, 1427 nt
Organism: Cherax quadricarinatus
Lineage: Eukaryota; Metazoa; Arthropoda; Malacostraca; Decapoda; Parastacidae
Source: RefSeq, a predicted model, not a curated record
ACCAGCCACACACAACACCAGCCACACACAACACCAGCCACACAACACCAGCUACACAACACCAGCUACACAACACCAGCUACACAACACCAGCUACACAACACCAGCUACACAACACCAGCUACACAACACCAGCUACACAACACCAGCUACACAACACCAGCUACACAACACCAGCUACACAACACCAGCCACACACAACACCAGCUACACAACACCAGCUACACAACACCAGCUACACAACACCAGCUACACAACACCAGCUACACAACACCAGCUACACAACACCAGCUACACAACACCAGCUACACAACACCAGCUACACAACACCAGCUACACAACACCAGCUACACAACACCAGCUACACAACACCAGCUACACAACACCAGCUACACAACACCAGCUACACAACACCAGCUACACAACACCAUGAAAUACACGCUGCUGAUAAUGCUGCUGCUGAUGCUGUAUCUGCAGCUGACACUGGCUGCUCCACAGCAUCACUUGGCACAUAUAGGAUCUUUUGCCCAUCCCUUUGGACACAGAAGAAAUCACUUACAUUACUAUCUAAGGGGCAUCCGACACUAUCAUAGACAUCACCCAUAUGACGGGGGAAACGGCAUUCCCCACUGCUGUCCAUACCAAGUGUAACGUGAGGAUUGUGAGGGCAACAAUCAGCUGUAGCCGUCAUCAAUCACCUCGUUACAGCAAGAAUGUAUUACAUAAUGUAUAUCUUUGAGUGUAUAUGCAGUAACAGUUAACUUUACGGUGUAUUUUAGGUAUUAAAGUAUUCUUGACUAGUUGUGUCGAGGUGACAUGCAGCCUUCAUGACCCUCGUGUAGUAGAUAGGGUUUAAACUCCAUUAAUCUACCAACAUCACUGAUGUUGUUAUGGCACCAUGGAACUGUAACAACAUUAGUAGUGUGAAAAAUAUGGUGAUACAGACAGCAUAUGGAAAAAGACACUUACGUACAGCUGUACAUAAGUGUCUCGACAUUAAUGUGUUUGUUUUAAAGGAUAUAAAUACCUCAGUUGGGUCUUAAUGCUGUUCUUAUUUUCUUUAUUAACAUUCAAGAAUAUUGUAUGUUAUGAGGAUUUAAUGUUUAUAUGUUAGGUUAGUGUAUAUGAACUGAGAAGUGUAUACACACUUGUCAGUGUAUAUACAUCUCCUAGUGUAUGUACACUUGUCAGUGUAUAUACAUCUCCUAGUGUAUGUACACUUGUCAGUGUAUAUACAUCUCCUAGUGUAUGUACACUUGUCAGUGUAUAUACAUCUCCUAGUGUAUGUACACUUGUCAGUGUAUAUACAUCUCCUAGUGUAUGUACACUUGUCAGUGUAUAUAUAGCUCCUAGUGUAUGUACAUCUAUCAGUGUAUAUAACCUGCAAAUCCAACUUAACUGCAGAAUUUGAAGUAUAUAUAUAUAUA